AUUGAACGCUGGCGGCAGGCUUAACACAUGCAAGUCGAGCGGGGUGAUGGUGCUUGCACUAUCACUUAGCGGCGUACGGGAGAGUAAUGCUUAGGAAUCUGCCUAUUAGUGGGGGACAACAUCUCGAAAGGGAUGCUAAUACCGCAUACGUCUUACGGGAGAAAGCAGGCGAUCACUUGUGACCUUGCGCUAUUAGAUGAGCCUAAGUCGGAUUAGCUAGUUGGGGGGGUAAAGACCUACCAAGGCGACGAUCUGUAGCGGGUCUGAGAGGAAGAUGCGCCACACUGGGACUGAAACACGGCCCGGACUCCUACGGGGGGGAGCAGUGGGGAAUAUUGGACAGUGGGGGUAACCCUGAUCCAGCCAUGCCGCGUGUGUGAAGGAGGCCGUAUGGUCGUAGAGCAGUUUAAGCGAGGAGGAGGCUCAUUUGGUUAAUUCCGAAGAUGAGUGGACGGUACUCGCAGAAUAAGCACCGGCUAACUCUGUGCCAGCCGCCGCAGUAA
Molecule: ribosomal RNA, 503 nt
Filed under: uncultured bacterium
Lineage: Bacteria
Description: partial 16S ribosomal RNA
Rfam family: Bacterial small subunit ribosomal RNA
Source: RNAcentral